GAUACUGAUGCCUAAGAAGAACCAGACUGCCAUCUAUGAACUCCUUUUUAAGGAAGCAGUGAUGGUUGCCAAGAAAGAUACCCAUAUACCUAAGACUCCAAGCUGUCAGAUAAGAAACAGUCCAACCUUCAUGUAAUGAAGGCCAUGCAGUCUCUCAAGUCUCAAGGCUACAUGAAGGAGCAGUUUGCAUGGAGACAUUUCUAUUGGUACCUUACAAACAAGAGCGUCUAGUGUCUCCGAGAUCACCUUCACCUACUUCUGGAGAUUGUGCCUGCCACCCUGAGCCACAAUCACUCUAAGAUUAGCAGGCCUUGGCCCAAAGAUCCAGAGGGUAAGUUAUCUGCAAGAGGAGAGAGAGGUAGACAAGGAUACCUACAGAAGGAGUGCUGUGUCUCCUGGGGCUGACAAGAAAAGCUGAGACUGGGGUUGGCUCAGCAACUGAAUUCCAGUUUAGAGAUGGUUUUGGUAGUGGACAUGAUCAGCCAUC
This 487-nucleotide long non-coding RNA is filed under the name Mus musculus (house mouse). RNAcentral describes it as "long non-coding RNA chr11:49697879-49698366". The record is from RNAcentral. Lineage: Eukaryota; Metazoa; Chordata; Mammalia; Rodentia; Muridae.